GACGAACGCUGGCGGCGUGCUUAACACAUGUAAGUCGAACGGUGAAGCGCCUUCCUUUUUGGGGGGUGUGGAGGAGUGGCGAACGGGUGAGUAACACGUGAGUAACCUGCCCCCUUCUUCAGGAUAACCGCAUGAAAGUGUGGCUAAUACGGGAUAUUCUGGGUCUGUCGCAUGAUGGGUCUGGGAAGGAUAUUGUUUCGGUGGGGGAUGGGCUCGCGGCCUAUCAGCGUGUUGGUGGGGUGAUGGCCUACGAAGGCGGUGACGGGUAGCCGGCCUGAGAGGGUGGACGGUCACACUGGGACUGAGACACGGCCCAGACUCCUACGGGAGGCAGCAGUGGGGAAUAUUGCACAAUGGGCGCAAGCCUGAUGCAGCGACGCCGCGUGAGGGAUGGAGGCCUUCGGGUUGUGAACCUCUUUCGCCAGUGAAGCAGGCCUGCCUCGUUUGUGGGUGGGUUGACGGUAGCUGGAGAAGAAGCGCCGGCUAACUACGUG
Molecule: ribosomal RNA, 494 nt
Filed under: uncultured bacterium
Lineage: Bacteria
Description: partial 16S ribosomal RNA
Rfam family: Bacterial small subunit ribosomal RNA
Source: RNAcentral